UACGUAGGGUGCAAGCGUUAAUCGGAAUUGCUGGGCGUAAAGCGUGCGCAGGCGGUUUUGUAAGUCUGUCGUGAAAGCCCCGGGCUCAACCUGGGAAUUGCGAUGGAGACUGCAAGGCUUGAAUCUGGCAGAGGGGGGUAGAAUUCCACGUGUAGCAGUGAAAUGCGUAGAGAUGUGGAGGAACACCGAUGGCGAAGGCAGCCCCCUGGGUCAAGAUUGACGCUCAUGCACGAAAGCGUGGGGAGCAAACAGG
RNAcentral lists this ribosomal RNA (253 nucleotides) under uncultured bacterium. RNAcentral's name for it is "partial 16S ribosomal RNA". It matches the Rfam family "Bacterial small subunit ribosomal RNA", at positions 524 to 776 of the family's 1533-position model. The record is from RNAcentral.